GUGAAAGCCAACUACAUUUCUGCUUAAAACUGCAUUUUUUCCUAAUGAUGACUCUGCUUAUUAACUAAAAAGAGAAGGACUUGGUGCCUUGAUUCCUUUUUGUUGAUGUAUACAUCUCCUCACAUGUGUACUAUGCUAUUCUUAAUGAACGGUAAACCAUUUGUAGCCUUUGGACUGUAUUUUGGCAUGAUACAUAGUGGUGGAAUGAGGAGAAACUAAAAUCUGUGGUCCAACCCUGAAAUAAUUACAGUUAUUUAUGUAGAAGUUUUUCAACAUGUUGUCCAAGUCCUUAUUGUUUUUGUAUUUGUUUUUCCUUCUUCCUUCUGUUAUCUUUCAUGAAUGAAAAUGCAGAUGUUUAUUAGUGUAUUGCAUAAAUGUUCAUAGGUUG
RNAcentral lists this unclassified non-coding RNA (388 nucleotides) under Hevea brasiliensis (rubber tree). Lineage: Eukaryota; Viridiplantae; Streptophyta; Magnoliopsida; Malpighiales; Euphorbiaceae. The record is from RNAcentral.